RNAcentral lists this long non-coding RNA (739 nucleotides) under Chinchilla lanigera (long-tailed chinchilla). RNAcentral describes it as "lncRNA (ENSCLAG00000025784.1)". The record is from RNAcentral. Lineage: Eukaryota; Metazoa; Chordata; Mammalia; Rodentia; Chinchillidae.
UCGUAUUUGCUCCAGGAUUUGAAAGCCAGAAUUUCCCCAAUCCAGGAGACCAUUCCUUGAAUGUUCAAGCCCUUCUCGGACAUCUUCAGACAUUGUGGCUUCGGUAUAAGGAGAAUCCAGGUGCAUCCAGCACCAGCUGCAGCUGAGGAAAGUGGCAGAAACCGGGGAGGCCGCCGUGAACCUCUGACUUUGGAGCCUGCCCACCUGGACGAGCUCACAGAGGAAGUACAUCGUGCCUGCAGCCCAACUGCCCACCCACCAGGUGCCAGCUGAGCACACUCCUGAUGCGAUCAUUAUCCUCACAGUGCCUGGCCAUGAAGGUGCCAUCAUUUCCAGGGGGCAGAUGAGAGAGAGUAAACAACUUGCUUAGGUCAACAUGGAAACAUUUCUAACAUCAGUCUGUCUUAUUCCGGGCCAGAAUUGGAUAAGCUCCUCUCAGUGUUGGAGGGGUGUGUGUUUUACCCACCCCAUCCAGGCACAUCCCUGGAUAAAAGCCACUGCUAGCUACCAUUCCUUCGAUAGGGUGUGCUGAUAAAUCCAUCCAACUUUAUGCUGCUUUAUGCUGCCAACAGAAUCCAAAGAACAAAAGGGAAAAUGUGCUUGCUAGCUUUUUGCUUGUUUGUUUGGUUUGUGUAUUUGUCAUAAUAACAACUCCCUUCACCUUCUCACACAAUAAUGAAGCACCUGGCCACAGCAAAACCCAUGAUCAAGUCCCUGCUCUGUCUGGCUGGCCAGCAUC